RNAcentral lists this ribosomal RNA (357 nucleotides) under Triticum aestivum (bread wheat). RNAcentral's name for it is "partial small subunit ribosomal RNA". The record is from RNAcentral. Lineage: Eukaryota; Viridiplantae; Streptophyta; Magnoliopsida; Poales; Poaceae.
AUGCACAUGAAGAUGGUCAAGACCCCAAGUCCAAGGAAGAAGAGAACCAACGGAAGAAGGCGAGAACAGCCUCCAGGCACCGAACAUCCGGCUAUGGUUCCAGACAUCCGGCCCCUGGAGAUCUACCACGCAUCCAGGAGUCUGCAACAGAAGCUACAGGGCCUGGACAUCCGGCGCUCCGCCCCGGAAACCCGGCCUCCAGCCCGGACAUCCGGACACGACAUGCUGGGAGCACAGAAGGCUACCCCGACAGCACGGACAUCCCACCGUCACCCCGGACAUCCGGCAUCUCCCGAAGCCCCGCACAUCCGGCCCCUCCGCCCGGACAUCCAGCCCCGUCCGUCCAGAGAGCAGUAA